Molecule: ribosomal RNA, 269 nt
Filed under: uncultured bacterium
Lineage: Bacteria
Description: partial 16S ribosomal RNA
Rfam family: Bacterial small subunit ribosomal RNA
Source: RNAcentral
UUCACCUACGGGAGGCAGCAGUAGGGAAUCUUCCACAAUGGGCGAAAGCCUGAUGGAGCAACGCCGCGUGGGUGAAGAAGGUCUUCGGAUCGUAAAACCCUGUUGUUAGAGAAGAAAGUGCGUGAGAGUAACCGUUCACGUUUCGACGGUAUCUAACCAGAAAGCCACGGCUAACUACGUGCCAGCAGCCGUGGUAAUACGUCGGUGGCAAGCGUUAUCCGGAUUUAUUGGGCGUAAAGGGAACGCAGGCGGUCUUUUACGUCUGCUGU